Molecule: transfer RNA, 67 nt
Filed under: Microdeuterus sp. HEM078
Lineage: Eukaryota; Metazoa; Arthropoda; Insecta; Hemiptera; Acanthosomatidae
Description: tRNA-Leu
Source: RNAcentral
UCUAAUAUGGCAGAAAUAUAUGCGAUGAAUUUAAGAUUCAUAAAUAAAGACCCUUCUUUUAUUAGAA